This 468-nucleotide ribosomal RNA is filed under the name uncultured bacterium. RNAcentral describes it as "partial 16S ribosomal RNA". It matches the Rfam family "Bacterial small subunit ribosomal RNA", at positions 28 to 507 of the family's 1533-position model. The record is from RNAcentral.
GACGAACGCUGGCGGCGUGCUUAACACAUGCAAGUCGAACGGAAAGGCCCUGCUUUUGUGGGGUGCUCGAGUGGCGAACGGGUGUGUAACACGUGAGUAACCUGCCCUUGACUUUGGGAUAACUUCAGGAAACUGGGGCUAAUACCGGAUAGGAGCUCCUGCUGCAUGGUGGGGGUUGGAAAGUUUCGGCGGUUGGGGAUGGACUCGCGGCUUAUCAGCUUGUUGGUGGGGUAGUGGCUUACCAAGGCUUUGACGGGUAGCCGGCCUGAGAGGGUGACCGGCGACAUUGGGACUGAGGUACGGCGCAGACUCCUACGGGAGGCAGCAGUGGGGAAUAUUGCACAAUGGGCGGAAGCCUGAUGCAGCGACGCCGCGUGCGGGAUGACGGCCUUCGGGUUGUAAACCGCUUUCGCCUGUGACGAAGCGUGAGUGACGGUAAUGGGUAAAGAAGCACCGGCUAACUACGUG